This 366-nucleotide ribosomal RNA is filed under the name uncultured organism. RNAcentral describes it as "bacterial LSU rRNA". It matches the Rfam family "Bacterial large subunit ribosomal RNA", at positions 2099 to 2465 of the family's 2925-position model. The record is from RNAcentral.
CUUUACUGCAACUUGACGUUGGAACUUGGCUGUAUUUGUGUAGGAUAGGUGGGAGACUUUGAAGCAGGGCCGCCAGGUCUUGCGGAGUCGUCGUUGAAAUACCACCCUGGUGCUGACGAGUUUCUAACCGUGUCCGUAAGCCGGACAUGAGACAGCGUCUGGUGGGCAGUUUGACUGGGGCGGUCGCCUCCUAAAAGGUAACGGAGGCAUUCAAAGGUCCCCUCAGCGUGGUCGGUAAUCACGCGCAGAGUGCAAACGCAUAAGGGGGCUUAACUGCGAGACCGACAGGUCGAGCAGGUACGAAGGUAGGAGUUAGUGAUCCCGCGGUUUAGCGUGGAAUUGCCGUUGCUCAAUGGAUAAAAGGUA